UCAACAGAGCGAGGCAAAGCCGCGAGGCAGAGCGAAUCGCUAAAAGCCGUCCCAGUUCGGAUUGCAGGCUGCAACCCGCCUGCAUGAAGUUGGAAUCGCUAGUAAUCGCGGAUCAGCAUGCCGCGGUGAAUACGUUCCCGGGCCUUGUACACACCGCCCGUCACACCAUAAGAGUCGGGAACACCCGAAGUCCGUAGCCUGACCGCAAGGGGGGCGCGGCCGAAGGUGGGUUCGAUAAUUGGGGCGAAGUCGUAACAAGGUAAC
This 264-nucleotide ribosomal RNA is filed under the name uncultured bacterium. RNAcentral describes it as "partial 16S ribosomal RNA". It matches the Rfam family "Bacterial small subunit ribosomal RNA", at positions 1236 to 1500 of the family's 1533-position model. The record is from RNAcentral.